Molecule: long non-coding RNA, 1788 nt
Filed under: Capra hircus (goat)
Lineage: Eukaryota; Metazoa; Chordata; Mammalia; Artiodactyla; Bovidae
Description: lncRNA (ENSCHIG00010027282.1)
Source: RNAcentral
AGAGAAAAAGUUAAGUGGCCCAUAGCAAGGACACAUGGGUUGGACGUGGUAAACUCCAUUAAGAUCCAAUCUGCUUUUCUAAUCUACCAUUUUGGUGUCAGUGUGCAGAAGAGAUCAAAACAGAGGGUCAGCAGAAAAAGGGAGACUGAGCACCCCUCGCGGCCUCACUCCAACAUCACAUUUUUGUUCCCAGGACUUCUGAUGUUCUCCAGGACCAUGCUGGGCCACUCCUCAUAUCCUCACCCAGAGCAGGAACGGGAGAUAUCCCCAUCACCCCCACAAUAUCCAGGCAAGUAUCUGUCAUCCUCAUGAAGUGGCCAGAAGGAUCACUUCACCUAGAAAGAUGUCAGAUUACCUACCAUCCUUCUUACCUUAAGAAGGGGAGAACUUCAAUUACGGCCCGGAGACCCCUCACCCUGCCACCCCACCCCCCUGUCAUCAACGCCCCAGAUUACUGAGCCCAGAGUCCCACUCGGUACCUGAUGUGAUGCACACGCAGAGCCACAUCUUCAUUGGUCACGCUUGGAGUGGUGAUAAAUAAUAACAUUCACAAGUCGCAGCUUUUCCAUCAUACACAUUUUAUUGAAAAACACAGUUUUACAGAUUCAAAAUAUUUUACACAAUCUUCUGUUCCCUUCUGACAGAGUGGAACAGUAUAUCUUCCACUUGCCAAGACUGGUGAGAUCAGCAUAGCAACUGAAACCAUCUGUAAACAAGGCCUCUGGUUAUAUUCCCUACUGCAAAUGACCACAGAGAACUCGCCAUAAGGGCACAGGUAUUGGUAAACUAUAAGCGAGCUGGAGGGUGAACAACGGCUCCUACUUACUUAUUCCUUCUCCUUGCAGUACCUUUGGCACAAGUUCCACUGAACGAAGUUCCCUGUGGCCUCAGUUUGGCCAGGGUGUGACAAUCACAAUUUGCGGGGGACAGAUACCUGGGGGGGACGUGGUAUCUCAUGUUAGGAUAUUGGAGGGCAAAUACAAAGUGACAUAAGAAACAAAGGUUUAAUAUCCCCAUUGACAAGUGAGAGCAGGCUUUCUCCCCUCCCUUUGCUUUAGAAGGUUUACUUUGGAAAACUUGUCAGUUCUUUCUCUGUCUCUUUGCAAUAUGUGGAAAUCGUUUUAGAAAGCUCAAUAAGCCUCUUGCCAAUUUGACAACCCAGGAACGCUUCUUUAAGGACCUGGAAGCAAAAAUCCUUGCAAAGGGGGAGAACUAGGUAAAGAGGGAACAACUUAAGCAGUUGAAACCAGAAACUGCUAGACCUUCUGGACAAUCAGAGAAAGAAAUGACUGUCAAAGCAAUGCACCAGAGUCAAUAGAGCUGCAGGAGAAGAUCAUGAAAAGGUGAGGGCAGGCAGCAUCUCAGGAGGAUUACAGCAUCCUCAGAAGCAAGAGGUGUUCCUUCUCAGAACUCCCUCAGGUUAUGUUAGUGUGCAACGGUAUAAAACAUUAUAAACAACAUUAAAUGGUGCACAGAAAGAGCGGCGGUGGCAAAAUGAUCUCCUGGGAGAGAGGCCCACAAUUCACUGGGAAAAUGAAAUGUGAAGACUUGAUCCGAAUAUUAACGCCUCAUCUUGAAUAGAGGCCCACAUCCACUCACUUCACACAUAUCCGUGUGCUUUACCAUCUUCUAUACCACAGUUACGGCCACCGAAUGGUAGUGUGAGGGAACGGGGCCAGGAGACAGGAGAAAGAGCCCUGAACCCACAAUGUCCACCACAAUUUUCACACCAAAACCCUUGUCCUCGCCACUGUCAGUCUUUCCGUAUACUCUCAGAGCCUCCUGCUC